UAAUAAAAAAUUAGAUUAGGUCACAGUUUUAUAUAAAUUAUUAAGAAACAUCUAUUAAUAAUGUAAAGGAGAUUGAAACUUUAUUUUUUUUAAAAAAUCUUAAAAAGUACUGCAAAGGAAAAUAUUUAAUUUGCAAAAAAGUAAUGAGAUUCUCAUGUACCUUUUGUAUCAUGGCUUAGCUAGAUUUUAUUUUAAUAUCCUAAAAUUCUCGAAAUCUAAUGAGCUACUUUUAUUUUUUAUUUUAGUACCCAGAAAUUAGAUGUAGCAAAAUCUUUUUUAAAAAUAAUAGUAGAAAUGAAAUUUUAUUCGUAUUAGAUGAUAGCUAGUUUUCUUUUAAAGAUAUAGAAGUAUUUAAACUUAAAAAUAUAGAAUUAAAAUUAAUUUAAUUCUAAAAAAUAAGUUUAACAAUUUUUUAAGGAUAAGCUUAAAAAAUAUAAUAAGUAAUUAGUAUAUAAACCUUUUUAAAAUUUAGGCUUGAAACUAGCCAAAAUAUUAAAAUUUGUUAUAAUUUAUUUAGCUAAAAAGGAAAAGAUACAUUUACAUAUAAAAUAAAAGAAAAUUGUUAAAAACUUAAUUAACAAAUAUCAAUGCUAAGAUGAGUAUUUUGUAAUAUAUACAUAGGUUGAUUAUAUAAAAAUCAAAUUUUAGUAAUAAAUAGUAUAGAAAAAUUUUAUGAAGGAACUCGGCAAACAUCACUCUGCCUGUUUAUCAAAAACAUGGCUCCUUGAAAAAUUCUUAUAGGGAGUCGGACCUGCCCAGUGAUUAAAAAAUUUAACGGCCGCGGUACCCUGACCGUGCAAAGGUAGCAUAAUCAUUUGCCCUAUAAUUGAGGGCUAGUAUGAAUGGUUUGACAAGAGUGAUACUGUCUCCGUAAAAAUUUUUAGAAUUUAUUUUUUAGGUGAAGAAACCUAAAUAAAAUUAAAAGACAAGAAGACCCUAUCGAGCUUUAAAUCCAUUUAUGAAAUAACAGAAGUCUUUUGACAUUUUUAAUCAUAAAAAAUUUUGGUUGGGGCGACUAAGGAACAAACAAAGCUUCUUUAUAUAUUUUAGAUUUGUAAAUAAUGAUCCAUUAAUUAUAAUGAUUAAAAGAAUUAGUUACCGUAGGGAUAACAGCAUAAUCUUUUUUGAGAGCUCUAAUCGAAAAAAGGGUUUGUGACCUCGAUGUUGGACUAGGAUAUCCUGAAAGAUGCAGAAGUCUUCAAGGGUUGGUCUGUUCGACCAUUAAAAUCCUACAUGAUCUGAGUUCAGACCGGCGUGAGCCAGGUCAGUUUCUAUCUUUAAUUAUAAAAUUAAAUUUAGUACGAAAGGACCAAUUUAAAAUAAAACUUAUACAAUAUAGAUGAAUUAUAAUAAUGAAAUUAAUUUUUAAUUUAAAUCAA
This 1379-nucleotide ribosomal RNA is filed under the name Euspira pila. RNAcentral describes it as "16S ribosomal RNA". The stretch from base 628 to 1379 matches the Rfam family "Archaeal large subunit ribosomal RNA", at positions 1423 to 2886 of the family's 2987-position model. Lineage: Eukaryota; Metazoa; Mollusca; Gastropoda; Littorinimorpha; Naticidae. The record is from RNAcentral.